Molecule: ribosomal RNA, 492 nt
Filed under: uncultured bacterium
Lineage: Bacteria
Description: partial 16S ribosomal RNA
Rfam family: Bacterial small subunit ribosomal RNA
Source: RNAcentral
GACGAACGCUGGCGGCGUGCUUAACACAUGCAAGUCGAACGGAAAGGCCCCCACUUUUUUGGUGGGGGUGCUCGAGUGGCGAACGGGUGAGUAACACGUGGGUGAUCUGCCCUGUACUUCGGGAUAAGCUUGGGAAACUGGGUCUAAUACCGGAUAGGACCAUGGUUUAGUGUCUCAUGGUGGAAAAAUUAUUGUUUUGGUGCAGGAGGAGCUCGCGGCCUAUCAGCUUGUUGGUGGGGUAAUGGCCUACCAAGGCGUCGACGGGUAGCCGGCCUGAGAGGGUGGACGGCCACAGUGGGACUGAGAUACGGCCCAGACUCGUACGGGAGGCAGCAGUGGGGAAGAUUGCACGAUGGGCGCAAGCCUGAUGCAGCGACGCCGCGUGAAGGAUGACGGCCUUCGGGUUGUAAACUCCUUUCGUUAGGGACGAAGCCGCGCCUUUUUUGGGUGUGGUGACGGUACCUUUGUUAAGAAGCACCGGCUAACUACGUG